Molecule: ribosomal RNA, 253 nt
Filed under: uncultured bacterium
Lineage: Bacteria
Description: partial 16S ribosomal RNA
Rfam family: Bacterial small subunit ribosomal RNA
Source: RNAcentral
UACGUAGGGCGCAAGCGUUGUCCGGAAUUAUUGGGCGUAAAGAGCUCGUAGGCGGCUUGUCACGUCGGUUGUGAAAGCCCGGGGCUUAACCCCGGGUCUGCAGUCGAUACGGGCAGGCCAGAGUGUGGUAGGGGAGAUCGGAAUUCCUGGUGUAGCGGUGAAAUGCGCAGAUAUCAGGAGGAACACCGGUGGCGAAGGCGGAUCUCUGGGCCAUUACUGACGCUGAGGAGCGAAAGCGUGGGGAGCGAACAGG